UCGCUCUUGCAAAAACAAAAAAUAAGAGGUCCCGCCUGCCCUGUGACUAUAAGUUUAACGGCCGCGGUAUUUUGACCGUGCGAAGGUAGCGCAAUCACUUGUCUUUUAAAUGGAGACCUGUAUGAAUGGCAUAACGAGGGCUUAACUGUCUCCUUUUUCCAGUCAAUGAAAUUGAUCUCCCCGUGCAGAAGCGGGGAUAUUUACAUAAGACGAGAAGACCCUAUGGAGCUUUAGACACCAAAGUAGACCACGUUAAGGAUCCCUAAAUAAAGAAUUAAACCAAAUGGAACUCUACUCUAAUGUCUUUGGUUGGGGCGACCGCGGGGAAAUACAAAACCCCCACGUGGAACGGGAAUACUUUUCCUACAACCCAGAGCUCCCGCUCUAAUAAACAGAAAUUCUGACCAAUAAGAUCCGGCAAUGCCGAUCAACGGACCGAGUUACCCUAGGGAUAACAGCGCAAUCCCCUUUUAGAGCCCAUAUCGACAAGGGGGUUUACGACCUCGAUGUUGGAUCAGGACAUCCUAAUGGUGCAGCCGCUAUUAAGGGUUCGUUUGUUCAACGAUUAAAG
Molecule: ribosomal RNA, 571 nt
Filed under: Naso mcdadei (squarenose unicornfish)
Lineage: Eukaryota; Metazoa; Chordata; Actinopteri; Acanthuriformes; Acanthuridae
Description: partial 16S ribosomal RNA
Rfam family: Bacterial large subunit ribosomal RNA
Source: RNAcentral